This 106-nucleotide transfer RNA is filed under the name Colletotrichum salicis. It matches the Rfam family "tRNA". Rfam says of the family: Transfer RNA (tRNA) molecules are approximately 80 nucleotides in length. Their secondary structure includes four short double-helical elements and three loops (D, anti-codon, and T loops). Lineage: Eukaryota; Fungi; Ascomycota; Sordariomycetes; Glomerellales; Glomerellaceae. The record is from Rfam by way of RNAcentral.
GGUCUGGUGGUGUAGUUGGUUAUCACGUCAGUCUAACAGCUCAAGAGCCUCACCUCUCUCGUCUCUGCCACACUGAAGGUCUCCGGUUCAAGUCCGGGCUAGAUCA